GCAGUUGAGCGCUGAGGUUGGUACUUGUACCGACUGGAUGAGCAGCGAACGCCCUAAAACGCGUGGGGAAUCUGCCUUUGAGCGGGGGACAACCUUUGGAAACGAAUGCUAAUACCGCAUAAAAACUUUAAACACAAGUUUUAAGUUUGAAAGAUGCAAUUGCAUCACUCAAAGAUGAUCCCGCGUUGUAUUAGCUAGUUGGUGAGGUAAAGGCUCACCAAGGCGAUGAUACAUAGCCGACCUGAGAGGGUGAUCGGCCACAUUGGGACUGAGACACGGCCCAAACUCCUACGGGAGGCAGCAGUAGGGAAUCUUCGGCAAUGGACGAAAGUCUGACCGAGCAACGCCGCGUGAGUGAAGAAGGUUUUCGGAUCGUAAAACUCUGUUGGUAGAGAAGAACGUUGGUGAGAGUGGAAAGCUCAUCAAGUGACGGUAACUACCCAGAAAGGGACGGCUAACUACGUGCCAGCAGCCGCGGUAAUACGUAGGUCCCGAGCGUUGUCCGGAUUUAUUGGGCGUAAAGCGAGCGCAGGUGGUUUAUUGAGUCUGGUGUAAAAGGCAGUGGCUCAACCAUUGUAUGCAUUGGAAACUGGUAGACUUGAGUGCAGGAGAGGAGAGUGGAAUUCCAUGUGUAGCGGUGAAAUGCGUAGAUAUAUGGAGGAACACCGGUGGCGAAAGCGGCUCUCUGGCCUGUAACUGACACUGAGGCUCGAAAGCGUGGGGAGCAAACAGGAUUAGAUACCCUGGUAGUCCACGCCGUANACGAUGAGUGCUAGAUGUAGGGAGCUAUAAGUUCUCUGUAUCGCAGCUAACGCAAUAAGCACUCCGCCUGGGGAGUACGACCGCA
RNAcentral lists this ribosomal RNA (847 nucleotides) under uncultured bacterium. Its description in RNAcentral is "bacterial SSU rRNA". It matches the Rfam family "Bacterial small subunit ribosomal RNA", at positions 57 to 890 of the family's 1533-position model. The record is from RNAcentral.